CAAAAUAUUUACCAAGAAAACGUUUCUCUUCGGUGCCACCCCCUGCCAUAAAUAAUGAGCGCUCCCUUAGUUACCAAAUGCAAGACUACUGCAUGUAUUGGAAAGUCUUCAAAAGAGUUAACAUUGCAGGCGGGGCCCCAUCUGCAGCAUGCUAGCAUGCAUAGUAGAAACUACUUAAAUACAGUUUUGUAAGAAGACUCACUUGCCUAACUUUACUUUUUAUAGAUAAUUAUUACCACAACCAUCAGACGCGAGCCUACAGCACUGAUGCUUUGAAGUACAGCGGGUGUACAGCACAGGACGUGGUGCACUAAAUGAUGUGAGUAGCAACUGAGUACUUGUUUCCUAUAACAUUUGAACCGGAUUGUGUAGUUAGAAGCAAUGCUUCUACAAUAUGUUAG
Paramuricea clavata is the source of this 401-nucleotide non-coding RNA. The record is from the annotation of a GenBank genome assembly. NCBI's taxonomy places the organism in Eukaryota, Metazoa, Cnidaria, Anthozoa, Malacalcyonacea, Plexauridae.